CUCAGCUGACCAGCCCUGUCCGCUACUAGGCCUCGCCUAGAGGAGGGAAAGGCCGUGGCGUCCGCUCCCUCCGCGGCUCAUGGCGACGACGCUUGGCACAUCCGGGACCCUCAGGCCGCUGCAGUCGCGUCGCCGGCUGCUCGGGCCCCAGCCCCGGCCGCUGUGGUGACUCCGCCGCGCCUCGCCGUCGCCCCCGUCCCGCCCGCCGCCCCAGCCGCCAGGGACAUGUCUAACCUCGGAGGCCGUAGGAACGGGCCUGUCGAAGUGCGCCUGACAGGGACAUGCCACCCCCGUUUUAGGAGAACUUGUAUUUGGUUUGAGAAGGAAUUGGAAUCACGGCGUUAUCCUACCUUCACCAUUUACCCCUGAUAAAUUGUCCACGUUUAUAUUUGGAGUCUCAUUCUAUUGCCCAUGCUGGAGUGCAGUGGCAACAGCGUGCAGUGAGUGAUCCCGGCUCUCUGCAGCUUUGACCUCCUGGCUCAAGUGCUUUUCCCACCUUGGCUUCCCAAGUAGCUGGGACUACAGGAAUCAUAUUGACAGGUCAUGAAAAUGAGACCAAAAGAUCUCUGGAAGCGAUUAAUGAUAAAAUUUCAUGGAGAAGAAGGCCUUGACUACGGAGGGGUUGCCAGACAGGGUCUCCCUCUGUCACCCAGGCUGGAGUGUAGUGGCGCGAUCUCGGGUCACUGCAACCUCCCCAAGCUGGGCUCAAGAGAUCCUCCCACCUCAGCCUCCUGAGCAGCUGGGACUACAGGUACAAGCCACCACAGCCAGCUAAUUUUUGUAAUUUUUUUGUAGAGAUGGGGUUUCGCCAUGUUGCCUAGGCUGAUCUCGAACUCCUGAGCUCAAGUAGUCUGCCUGCCCCGGCCUCCCAAAGUGCUGGGAUUACAGGUGUGAGCCACCGCACCCAGCCAGUGAUUUAUUUCUGAUAUUAUAUUUACUAUAAGAAUUCUUUUCUAAAUAUGAAAAUUAGUUUUAUAUAAAUGUAGGAUAAACACUGUAGCUCUCUACUGAAAUGUUUUAAGGAUCAUUGUAAUUCUGCUUUCCCUAAUCUUAAAUCCAACCAAAAUUAAAUUAUGUUUUCA
This 1082-nucleotide long non-coding RNA is filed under the name Homo sapiens (human). Its description in RNAcentral is "HSALNT0244255". The record is from RNAcentral. Lineage: Eukaryota; Metazoa; Chordata; Mammalia; Primates; Hominidae.